This 405-nucleotide long non-coding RNA is filed under the name Gallus gallus (chicken). The record is from RNAcentral. Lineage: Eukaryota; Metazoa; Chordata; Aves; Galliformes; Phasianidae.
GCUUGGCCACGGAGCAGACCCCAGUGGAGAUAGCAGUUCUUUAAGGCUUUCAAGCAGCUGACAAGAAACCAUCAAGUUCUGAGAGCUCCACUCCUAUGAAAGUCAACAGUCCUUCAAGAAAGAGGACCCAACUUGCUGGAGUGGCUUAUCUGGACCGGAGCCUACUCCUACCCAAGACCUGAAAGACCUCAGGGAAGAUGUCAGUGGAGGCAGCCAGAAGACUGGGGAGCCUCAGUGGUCUCAAAAGCAAGCCACAAGAAAACACUGUCACCUGGUGUGGGUCAUGGUUGGGCAGUAAUACCGAUGGCCAAAGUGUGGGGGUCACCGUGGGGAGGACUGGUGCUGGAGGAAGAGGUUGAGUCACGUUCUCUGGGGUUAAUUAUAUGGUGGAUGCUGAUGAACUAG